AUUAUGUUUUCAUGGAUAGCAUUUAUCUAUGAAUGGAGAAAAAAUCUUACCCAUCUAGGAGGUGGGUAAGUGAUUUUCCCAUCAAUUGAAUUUUUUUUGUUUCAUUCCCAAUAUACCCCUAAUCCUAUAUAAUGAUUUAUUUAUAUAAUAUAAUAUAAUAUAUAUGAAACAUAUAUUAUCUAUAUUUAUGAAUAUAUAUUAUAUGAUAUUAUAUAUUAUAACAUACAAAAUAUAAAAUAUUAUAUUAUAUUAUUAUAUAAUAAUAUUUAUACGAUAAAGAAUAUUAUAAAAAUUAUGGAUAGAUCUUGACAAUUUAUAUAAGAAACUAGUAAUGCAAAAAAAUAUGGAUAAUAAAUUUUCAAACCAUUUUUCAAUACAUAAAAGAGCAUUGAUAAAUUAUUUUCUGAUCUAAAUGUUGCCACUUAUUUAGAAAAAUACAGAUUAUUACAUAAGUUUUUUUAUCCUCAAAAGAACAAGCCCUUAGGAUUUGUGCAAGUGGAUAGAUGAAAGAGGAUAAAGCACUUUAAGAUUUAUGCAAAUGAAUGAAUUACAAAAGAAGUGCUUUGAGAUUUAUACAGAUGAAUGAAUGAUAGAAGAUAAAAUAUUUUGAGAUUUGUAAGGAUCAAUACUAGAGGAUGAAGUGAUUUGAGAUUUAUGCAGUGGAUGGAUGAUAAAGAAUGUAGCACUUUGAAAUUUGUGUAAAUAGAUGAAUGAUAGAUGACAGAACACUUUAAGAUAUGUGCAAGUGGAUGAAUCAUAGAGGAUAGAGCAUUUUAAGAUUAUGUGAAAGCAAUGAUUAGAUCUCUUUGAAUUAAGGGUACUUUGAAUUUUUUUCAACGAUAUUAGGAUCUAAAUAUAGGGGUAGCAAUUGAGUUGGGUUGGAUGG
RNAcentral lists this long non-coding RNA (886 nucleotides) under Elaeis guineensis (African oil palm). RNAcentral describes it as "long non-coding RNA (EGUI_LNC070574)". The record is from RNAcentral. Lineage: Eukaryota; Viridiplantae; Streptophyta; Magnoliopsida; Arecales; Arecaceae.